This 303-nucleotide long non-coding RNA is filed under the name Brassica napus (rape). Its description in RNAcentral is "long non-coding RNA (BNAP_LNC014886)". The record is from RNAcentral. Lineage: Eukaryota; Viridiplantae; Streptophyta; Magnoliopsida; Brassicales; Brassicaceae.
UGAGGAUAUGAGAUCGAGAUGAUUGGUUAAGUGGAGGAGAGUUGGUGCAGACUCAGAUUAGCCGGAGUUUUUUUGUUGAAAGCAUUCUAGCGAAGUUUUGUGUCUAUCUCCUUGAAGCUUCUUACCAGACUUCAUCUCUAACGUGAAAAUGUGGAAUCUUACACAACUGUCAGCGAACACGGAAAGGAGGAGCGGUCAAGCGGUUCAAUUAGGCGAAGAAAAAUAUCGAUUGUUCUCGGUCCGGUAGACUUUCCGGCGAAACCAACAGCACUCUCUUUGUAUCCUCAACUUCCACAUAAGGGU